UGAAAAUUAGAGGGUGGAUUUGGGUGCAGCUCAGAAGCAGAACAGAAACAUGGUAGUUUCCUUCAAAAAGCUUAAAAAAAUUUCAAACACUAGAAGUAGAUUAAAUGCUGGUUCAUAACCAAACCAAGAUGCAUUUACCAUUACAAAUUUACUUGUAGAGGGAUCAAAUUGUCAAGACUUGAGCAAUCAAUUACCUUACUAUGCUCUGAGCGUGAUGGAUGAAAGGAGAAGCUAACCAUCAAGGGAGUGAUGGAAUCGAGAUGCUAGAGAGGGUGACUCCAAUGGAGAAGAAGUUUAGGUGAAAGAAAGGAAGUGGUUCUGAAGACAGAUUUUUUGAGUUCUAGCGCCCAAAUGGAUGUGUGAGGGGUAGGAUGUGGCCACCAGCUAAAAAGUGGCAAUGCCAUUGGUGGUUUCUGGCUUUCUGCCAUCACCAAGCUACAGGGAAAGGAAGUGUUAUGCGCCCUAUCUUUCAGGCUUCAGCUCUCCUGAUUCUUGCCCUGCCCAAGCCCGCUGUUUCACCAAGAAGGCCUCUAUGAGUUGGGGAGUGCUGCUCAUGAACAAAAGCCAAGAUAGAUUUUCCAACUCCAAGAUUGACAGGAAGGGUUAUUCAAGUGCUGCUGAAUCCACUGGAUAUGGAAUUUAACCCUAUGGGCAGACUAAUUUCACCAGAUCCAACAAAAGCACAAUGAUGGUGCCAACUUGGAGGAUAAUGUGGUGCAGGACCACCUGAUCCUAGUCAGAGAUAAGUACAGAUCAAAAGAAUCUCAAAGGUGGAUCAUUUGAUGAUUUUGUUCUCCCCCAUCAAUGUCUAAGUGAAAGAAACAAGCGCACAACCAGUCUCGAGAUGGAAUUAUUGCCAUGCAAAUCUGCUUGUUGCAACAACCACCGUUGAAUCCCUGCUGACAAAUUCAUCUCAUUGGUGCUUUUGCAAAUGUGAUGGUGAGGUUUCACCUCUGUCAUCCAAAUGAACAUGAGAUCGCAUGGCCUUUUCUCCAUCACCAAUAAGACGGACAUCUAAAGUUCGCAUGGGGAACAGAGUUUCUUGUUGAAGUAUUGGAAUGAAAUCGCUCCUGUGCUCGAUGAGACCUCUGGAAAGUUACAUCCAAUUGACAUUUGCAGGGAUAUAUGGAACUCAAUUCGGAUAGUAUUUGCUACAACAAACAGAUAGUGUCAAACUG
Non-coding RNA from Musa acuminata subsp. malaccensis (wild Malaysian banana), 1178 nucleotides. The record is from RefSeq and is a predicted model, not a curated record. NCBI's taxonomy places the organism in Eukaryota, Viridiplantae, Streptophyta, Magnoliopsida, Zingiberales, Musaceae.